UUACAAGUUAUGUAGGAUGAACUAAGGAAGCUUAUGUUUAUGGGUUAGAGAGACUACAUUGGAUGAUUCUUCUAGGAUUUUGAAUCACCAAGAACCAUCAACAAAGCCAACAGUAUCUUUCACACAAGUUACUAAUAUCUUCUUAAAUAGUUUUACUUUGUAAGAACCAUUUCCUUGAGUGGGUUUACAAUGGGACGGACUAACUUGCGUACAAAGACCGUUUUUUAUUCACUAUUCAUAAUUUUGGUCCGCAGUUUAGUAAAUAGGAAAAAAUAUAAAAACUCUAGGGGAAUUGGAAAACUAACCAAAAAAAAAUAUAAUUAAGAAACUAGCAUAAAAAAAAAAGCAAUGAUAUCCUCUAUAUUUUAUAUAUUAAUUCCAAGUUUACCCCCUCUAUCUCUUUCCGUCUACCUCUCUCUUCCCUUCUCUCUCCCCUCUAUCUUUUUCUCUCUCUCUCUUUCUCUCUCUUUCUUUUUUUCUCCCCCUCUCUCUUUCUCCUCCCAAUAAAGUUCCUACACCUACCUCGUUACUUGUUUUUUAUUUCAAAUUAGAGUCUCUUAAUUACUUUAGGGUGAUAUUUGAUUUGGGGGUUUCGAAUUACAGAGCGAGGAACACAAGUUAGGUUCAGGGAAUUGACUUUCGUUGUUGCACUUGAUGAUGAAAUAGGGUUCCGUUGUUGCGCUUGGUGUAUUGGUGAUGAAAUUGAGUUCCGUUGUUGCAUUUUGAGAGAUACUAUUCUAUUUUGUAAAUAGUAUACUAUUUACGUAUACCUUGUUCUAUAUACGUUUUAAAAUGAAUUGUUUGUUUUGAUUAAAGAUGUUAAGUGAUUUCAUUAAUGUUUUAGAUUUAAACCCUUGGGUUCCCUAUAUAUUAUCCCUUUAGGGUUUAGUAUACUUCCAUCAAAAAAUAUUGUCAAUUUAUAUAGAACGUUAUGUUAUUCAUUGACAACACUAUUCACAUCUAAAUUAUUUUGUGUCUAUUUUCAAAAAUUUAAGUCAUGAUAUUUGUAGAAAACUAUACAACUUUUUAAUAGAUAUAUCAUGAACUUGAAUUAAAUUUUUUAAGAUCAGAUAAUAUGAGUUACAAUUGAAAAGGAGUAAAGAAAAAAGAAAGAGAAAAGAGAAUUUCUCUCCUACCACCUAUUUCUCUUCUCACCUCAACACCAAUAAUAAAGUCACGUCAGCUCACACUAAUCAUUCUCCUUCUUCGCUGACGAAGCGUAACACCAGGACAGUGAUGUCUUUUUACUCUCCUUGAAGGUUAUUUACUACAUUUACAAAUUUAUGGUGUUAGUUGGUUAAUUAUUUAGUAAAAAAGUGUUAUAUCUACAAAUCACGCAAAACUCUAUUACGGACCAACAAAUAGUUUAUUUGAAAGCAAAAAAACAAAACUUGGUCCGUAACGGAUUAUUGUCCGUCUUAGAAAUAUAAUGGUCUACUCCGCAAACAGAUUUGUCCGUCUUAGCGACAUAUUGGUCUAGUCUGCAAACGGAUUUAUCCGCUCUGUCUAUUUGUUGCAACCUUGUAAGUUUUCAAAGAGGAAACACAUAUAUAUGUUAU
RNAcentral lists this small RNA (1559 nucleotides) under Arabidopsis thaliana (thale cress). Its description in RNAcentral is "ATSL079940". The record is from RNAcentral. Lineage: Eukaryota; Viridiplantae; Streptophyta; Magnoliopsida; Brassicales; Brassicaceae.